Molecule: transfer RNA, 76 nt
Filed under: Holosporales bacterium
Lineage: Bacteria; Pseudomonadati; Pseudomonadota; Alphaproteobacteria; Holosporales
Description: tRNA-Ala
Rfam family: tRNA
About the family: Transfer RNA (tRNA) molecules are approximately 80 nucleotides in length.
Source: RNAcentral
GGGGUCGUAGCUCAAUUGGGAGAGCGCUACAAUGGCAUUGUAGAGGUCAGGGGUUCGAUCCCCCUCGGCUCCACCA